Molecule: non-coding RNA, 24 nt
Filed under: Cricetulus griseus (Chinese hamster)
Lineage: Eukaryota; Metazoa; Chordata; Mammalia; Rodentia; Cricetidae
Source: RNAcentral
GGGAAUGAUAGUUGGGAAGAAAAC